RNAcentral lists this ribosomal RNA (760 nucleotides) under uncultured bacterium. RNAcentral describes it as "bacterial SSU rRNA". It matches the Rfam family "Bacterial small subunit ribosomal RNA", at positions 8 to 796 of the family's 1533-position model. The record is from RNAcentral.
AGAGUUUGAUCAUGGCUCAGGAUGAACGCUGGCGGCGUGCCUAACACAUGCAAGUCGAGCGAUUCUCUUCGGAGAAGAGCGGCGGACGGGUGAGUAACGCGUGGGUAACCUGCCCUGUACACACGGAUAACAUACCGAAAGGUAUGCUAAUACGAGAUAAUAUGCUUUUAUCGCAUGGUAGAAGUAUCAAAGCUUUUGCGGUACAGGAUGGACCCGCGUCUGAUUAGCUAGUUGGUAAGGUAACGGCUUACCAAGGCGACGAUCAGUAGCCGACCUGAGAGGGUGAUCGGCCACAUUGGAACUGAGACACGGUCCAAACUCCUACGGGAGGCAGCAGUGGGGAAUAUUGCACAAUGGGCGAAAGCCUGAUGCAGCAACGCCGCGUGAGCGAUGAAGGCCUUCGGGUCGUAAAGCUCUGUCCUCAAGGAAGAUAAUGACGGUACUUGAGGAGGAAGCCCCGGCUAACUACGUGCCAGCAGCCGCGGUAAUACGUAGGGGGCUAGCGUUAUCCGGAAUUACUGGGCGUAAAGGGUGCGUAGGUGGUUUCUUAAGUCAGAGGUGAAAGGCUACGGCUCAACCGUAGUAAGCCUUUGAAACUGGGAAACUUGAGUGCAGGAGAGGAGAGUGGAAUUCCUAGUGUAGCGGUGAAAUGCGUAGAUAUUAGGAGGAACACCAGUUGCGAAGGCGGCUCUCUGGACUGUAACUGACACUGAGGCACGAAAGCGUGGGGAGCAAACAGGAUUAGAUACCCUGGUAGUCC